RNAcentral lists this ribosomal RNA (474 nucleotides) under uncultured bacterium. RNAcentral describes it as "bacterial SSU rRNA". It matches the Rfam family "Bacterial small subunit ribosomal RNA", at positions 38 to 507 of the family's 1533-position model. The record is from RNAcentral.
GGCGGCAGGCUUAACACAUGCAAGUCGAGCGGUAGCAGAUCUAGCUUGCUAGAUGCUGACGAGCGGCGGACGGGUGAGUAACGCGUAGGAACCUGCCCAGUAGUGGGGGAUAGCCCGGGGAAACUCGGAUUAAUACCGCAUACGCUCUACGGAGGAAAGAGGGGCUUCGGGCUCUCGCUAUUGGAUGGGCCUGCGUGAGAUUAGCUAGUUGGUGAGGUUAUGGCUCACCAAGGCGACGAUCUCUAGCUGGUCUGAGAGGAUGAUCAGCCACACUGGGACUGAGACACGGCCCAGACUCCUACGGGAGGCAGCAGUGGGGAAUAUUGCACAAUGGGCGCAAGCCUGAUGCAGCCAUGCCGCGUGUGUGAAGAAGGCUUUCGGGUUGUAAAGCACUUUCAGUGGGGAGGAAGGCCUCGUAGUUAAUAGCUGCGAGGAUUGACGUUACCCACAGAAGAAGCACCGGCUAACUCCGUG